CAGUCGCCACGGGAAAACGAAGGGUGCAAGCGUUAAUCGGAAUUACUGGGCGUAAAGGGCUCGCAGGCGGUUUCUUAAGUCUGAUGUGAAAGCCCCCGGCUCAACCGGGGAGGGUCAUUGGAAACUGGGAAGCUUGAGUGCAGAAGAGGAGAGUGGAAUUCCACGUGUAGCGGUGAAAUGCGUAGAGAUGUGGAGGAACACCAGUGGCGAAAGCACUCUGCUGGGCCGACACUGACACUGAGAGACGAAAGCUAGGGGAGCAAAUGGGAUUAGAUACCCCUGUAGUCCCUGUCUCUUAUAA
RNAcentral lists this ribosomal RNA (301 nucleotides) under uncultured bacterium. RNAcentral's name for it is "partial 16S ribosomal RNA". It matches the Rfam family "Bacterial small subunit ribosomal RNA", at positions 509 to 809 of the family's 1533-position model. The record is from RNAcentral.